AUUGAACGCUGGCGGCAUGCCUUACACAUGCAAGUCGAACGGUAGAGGGGGCAACCCCUCGAGAGUGGCGAACGGGUGAGUAAUAUAUCGGAACGUGCCCAGUCGUGGGGGAUAACGUAGCGAAAGUUACGCUAAUACCGCAUACGAUCUACGGAUGAAAGCGGGGGACCGUAAGGCCUCGCGCGAUUAGAGCGGCCGAUAUCUGAUUAGCUUGUUGGUGGGGUAAAAGCCCACCAAGGCGACGAUCAGUAGCUGGUCUGAGAGGACGAUCAGCCACACUGGGACUGAGACACGGCCCAGACUCCUACGGGAGGCAGCAGUGGGGAAUUUUGGACAAUGGGGGCAACCCUGAUCCAGCAAUGCCGCGUGAGUGAAGAAGGCCUCGGUUGUAAGCUCUUUGUCAGGGAAGAAACAGCAGCUCUAACACAGUCUGCGAAUGAC
This 441-nucleotide ribosomal RNA is filed under the name uncultured bacterium. RNAcentral's name for it is "bacterial SSU rRNA". It matches the Rfam family "Bacterial small subunit ribosomal RNA", at positions 30 to 473 of the family's 1533-position model. The record is from RNAcentral.